RNAcentral lists this long non-coding RNA (736 nucleotides) under Anas platyrhynchos platyrhynchos (common mallard). RNAcentral describes it as "lncRNA (ENSAPLG00000024483.1)". The record is from RNAcentral. Lineage: Eukaryota; Metazoa; Chordata; Aves; Anseriformes; Anatidae.
CAUUCUCUUUUAUAAAUAUUUAUAUUUCAAUGCUACUUACUUCUUGUCCCCUAUAAUAUCACAUAUCUUAUCAUUUGAUAUAGCUGAACACUGUGGUGCCUGUGCUAUUUUCUGAAAAACAGUUUAUUAUAUAAAUGUGGUAGAGAAGCAGCUUCAAAAUGGAAUAGUUAGAUUCUAUGUUGUGUCAUAAUGUUGUAUUUAUUUCAGAACAAGCCACUCCCAUUUCACCAUCUUAGCAUAUCUUUCAAUAGAAAGCUUAGAGGAAGUGUAUGUAUGGCUGUGAAACAGAACACACAGAGAAUGACUGCAUUACACUCAGUACAAACCAAAACCUGAUAUUAUCUCCUGAAUUGCAUUCGCUCAAAGAACACUUAAAUUUAGCAAAAGCUUUCCAGGGAAAGAUAGCUUCUUUGCGGAUAUGUUACGGGUUGCAAAACAAUAGCAGCUGGGAAAAAAAAAAAAAAAAAUAUAUGCAGCCUGCAGAAGCCAGUAUAAGUCAAUUCCUGAUAAGAUCCUCAGAGAAGAGCAGAUCUGCACCAAUAACAAGUGAGUCACACCACUGAGAAUGGAGCAUGUUCUGGUCUGUUGUAUCCAAGGAAAUUCACCUCACACCUCUUUGGCUACCUAAGUUCAGGAUCUACCCUAGCUGGCUGUCUAGGUUCCUUAGAGUCAAAGGCAACCUUUGUAGCUGAGCAACCGUAAUAAAUAAAUAAAUAAAUAAAUAAAUAAAUAAAUA